Molecule: non-coding RNA, 45 nt
Organism: Schistosoma rodhaini
Lineage: Eukaryota; Metazoa; Platyhelminthes; Trematoda; Strigeidida; Schistosomatidae
Source: Rfam
UUCCAGCUGAAGUGUUCCAAAUAGGACUAAACGUACGUCCUGAAU